RNAcentral lists this long non-coding RNA (263 nucleotides) under Ananas comosus (pineapple). RNAcentral describes it as "long non-coding RNA (ACOM_LNC024928)". Lineage: Eukaryota; Viridiplantae; Streptophyta; Magnoliopsida; Poales; Bromeliaceae. The record is from RNAcentral.
AUCUUAAACUUAUGGCUAAAGAUCUCGAUCAUCUUUUAACAUUGAUGCAAAUAGAUCCGAGUUGAUAGAGCUUCGUCUCAAUCCAUUCCAAAUAGGGUGAUAAAUAGAAAUAACGAAAAAAUGUCAUAAAGCUGUCAUAAUUCACUAAAAAAAAUUAAGCCAGAGACAAAAAAUUAUUUUUUUUUAAUCUGUUUCGAUAUGCCAAAAUUCGCUUUUUUCAUCUCGAAUGAAACGAUAAGUACAGACACAAAUUAGCAUAAAAG